GGUCUCGUAGCUCAGUUGGAUAGAGCACCAGAUUCCUAAUCUGGGGGUCACAGGUUCAAUUCCUGUCGAGAUCACCA
Molecule: transfer RNA, 77 nt
Filed under: Hyphomicrobiales bacterium
Lineage: Bacteria; Pseudomonadati; Pseudomonadota; Alphaproteobacteria; Hyphomicrobiales
Also listed under: 1 other name
Description: tRNA-Arg
Rfam family: tRNA
About the family: Transfer RNA (tRNA) molecules are approximately 80 nucleotides in length.
Source: RNAcentral